CAAGGAAUACCGCGACACAACUCUUAAUGGUGCUGUUGAACAAAUGUACACUGAGAUGGCAUCUCGCCACAGGGUGAGGUUUCCAUGCAUCCAAAUCAUUAAGACAGCUACCAUCCCAGCCAAGCUUUGCAAGAGAGAGAGUACCAAGCAGUUUCACAACUCCAAAAUCAAAUUUCCAUUGGUGUUCAAGAAGGUUAGACCCCCAUCCAGGAAGCUCAAGACAACAUACAAGGCUUCCAGGCCCAACCUGUUUAUGUGACGUGGUUCGUCAUUUUGCUGGUUCCUCAAUAUAUCAACUUGUUAGAUUGAAUAGCUUGUUGAACUAGAGUGAAUUGGACAUGAUCUCUUUUAUGAACUCGUUACUUCUGGUGAGAUAGAUCUGCAUUUGUUGUUCACUCUUUCAAGUUUUGAAUAUCAUGUGGUUUGUUAAGUUGCCUAUGCGUUUUGAGGUUGCUUAUUUGAUGUCAUGAUGAAGCCUUUUUGGGGGUGUUAUGUAGGCAUUGCCGUGGAAUUGCUAGAUAGUGGUGCUUUCCCAACUCGGGAAAAGUGCUUCUUGUAGCUCCUUUAAUGAACCUGGAGCACUUCCGAAGAUCAUUUUUAUUUUCAAAUAUGGUGCAGGGGAAAGAAAAACCUAACAAAAGCAUAAAACAUGAAAGCAUAAUUCUGUGGUAGAAAUGUGAUGCAAGCACUUGUAGAGGCAUGGUAAACAUUUCUCUGUAACAUGGGAGGUGCUAAAAGUUUUGAGUUGUUCGGCAAUGGCCAGGUUUAAACCGUUUUCUCAGUGCAAAUUUUUGGGGGAGGAAUGCACGUGUGGAUAAAAGGUAGUGCUUGCCUGAACCGGAACCUCAUCUCAUGGCGUCAUAACAUGGAUUUGAUGAAUUGAUCCGUCCAUUUAUACGAAAUAUCAUAUACACAAGAUUUCCCAAAUAUCAUAUACACAAGAUUUCCCAAUACGCGCGCGCGCGCACACAAAUACUCUCUCACAUUUAUAUCUCUGUAAUGGUGGUAGAAAUGAACCUGGAGCACUUCCGAAGAUAAUUUUUAUUUUCAAAUAUGGUGCAGGGGAAAUAAAAACCUAACUAAAGCAUAAAACGUGAAAGCAUAAUUGGUGGUAGAAAUGUGAUGCUAGAGGCAUGGUAAACAUUUCUCUGUAACAUGGGAGGUGCUAAAAGUUUUGAGUUGUUCGGCAAUGGCCAGGUUUAGACGGUUUUCUCAGUGACAAAUUCUUGGGGGAGGAAUGCACGUGUUGGAUAAAAGGGAGUGCUCGCCUGAACCGGAACCUCAUCUCAUGGCGUCAUGACAUGGAUUUGAUGAAUUGAUCUGUCCAUUUAUACGAAAUAUCAUAUAUACAAGAUUUCUCAAUUAUCACACACACACGAGUACUCUCUCACAUUUAUUUCUCUGUAACUUGCGCUCUCAUAUUGUAGGAAGAAAAGAAGAUGGGAUAGCUGUCUUCCAUCCCAGAAAUAACCAGGAAGGAACAACCCACCCCUCUAAUCAAAGCUUUUGCUAUCACUUCUGCAAACGUUUGACCUUAGUAUGCUUGCAUUGAAAGCAUGGCUGCAUUUCACAAUAUUCUUCCUUGCCUAACUUUGGUCAGAGUGGUUAGCUGCUUGCUUGUAAGAAGAAAACAACGUGAAUAAUUAAUGCUUUCUUAAAAGGAAUGAAUGGGCUAUGAAAUGAUGUGGAUGAAUUACGGUAGAUUUGCACUCUUCGUGCACUCGUAAAACACUGUGGACUUAGAUUUGCACUCUUUAUCCACUCAUGAAACACUGCGAACUUAUUGUUUAUUUUCUAACAACUCAUUUUGGUUCUUAAGUAUUUUUAGGCGAUUUAUUCAUAAUUAAAUUUCAAUUGCUUUUGAUUUUUUAGAUAAUGGUGUAAUUAUAAUAAGAGGGAUCGACUGAACAUGGAUAUGACAUACCAUAAAUUUCAUAAAAAAAAUACACUUAGAUUCUCAAUCUUUAAAAAUAAUACAAUUUAUAUAAUUUAGGUUCCUUUAAAUUUUCAAAAUCCAUUUUCGAUAUAGAAAUUCAUUUGUAUUAUUUUUCAGUCCUUGGUUGAGGAAGCCAAAACCACUAACCCUAUUUUCAGUUCCUGAUUUUAGAUUUUUGUACUUUUUUUUGGAUAUUUUGGGUUGGUUUGUAGAUGUUUUAAGAGUGUUAAUAAGAUAUUUUUUAGUUGAAAUGAUUUAAAAAUUAUAUAUUUUUUAGGAAAAGAAACAUUAUCCUAUUUUUAUAGUUAAAUGAAGAUUCUUGUUUACGUGGUUUUUUUUUUAAAAAAAAUUAUUACUUAAAAGUAACUUUUUUAAAAUAUUUUUACUUAAAAUUAUAAUUUUCAAGUGGCUCCUUCGGUAUGAUUAAUGAAGUUGAACCUUUGCACCUUCGGUUGGGAAUUGAGUAGGAGAACAAUUAAUUCCAUUUCUCAAUAAUUUUUUUUUGAAAAUUUAUGUUAGUAUACUUGAUUAUAUAUUAAUAAAAAACAAACUUAAUAAUAUUAAUAAUGAUGAUGUUGAUAGAUAAAAGCAUAAUUUAUGGCAACAUCUUUAAAACAGGAAAGGAAGAAAAGGUGGGAAAUUAGUUUAAUUUCUUUACCUUGAAACCAUUAUAGUUACAAACUUCUUGGUUGCCCAUUCCUCAGUUAUUUAGAUUCUGUUUGUUUUUAUAUUUUAAAAGUAUUUUUAAAAAAAUUUAAAUUUUUUUUUAUUCAAAUUAAUAUUUUUUUAGUGUUUUUAGAUUAUUUUGAUACGCUGAUUUCAAAAAUAAUUUUUAAAAAUAAAAAAAUAAUAUUAUUUUGAUACAUUUCUAAGUGAAAAGUACUUUAAAAAGCAACCGUAAUCACACACCCAAAUAUACCUAAGGCACCAAAUUCCUUACCUUUCAAUGAUGGGUAGUGUCACGUGGUAAUUUUUCGCUCCGCGAAUAAACCUGUGCGGCACCUAGUGCCUCACUAGACUCAACCUUCCCUCGCCAAUCCCACUCGUGUUUGCCUAAUAACUAAACAAGCGGAAUACACAAGUAGAAUAAGAUAAUCAAAGUGCACAACAAGCUUUACAUGAACUCUUUCCCAACCUUUAUUGAUCUCGUAAACAAAGGGAACUAUACACAAAUCCGUAUGUGUGCUAUGCACAAAGAUUGCAUGCUACACCAAGCUAUCUCUACCUAGUGCUCUACAUGCUCUUGCAUGCCCCUACAUGCUGGACAUACCCCACACAUGCUCCCCUUCAACCAAGAGCUGCAACAAGUAUUUAUAGACAAGCAUUUACAAGACACAACUCCCAUUCCUACUUUUAAGGAAGUAGUGGGACAUUAUCUCACCCUUGAACAUAGUGGCCCCAUUAUCUACCAAGUAGUGAGGAGUUUCCCCCCUAUGAUCCCCCAUGAUCUUCGUGGGUUGAGAGCAACCCCUGGUCAGCCCUCAUGAUCUCAUGAUCUUGGAUAUCCAUAACUGCCACUACUCACGUUCUGCAUGCCCACCUUGCAGCCCCAACUGCCAGUUCUUGUUGUGUCUCCUGCUGGUCUCUCACAUGCCUUGGACAGUCCUUUGUCCAAGUUUCAGAUCGUGCCAAGUCGAACCACCGACUCACACAAGCCGUUGCACGUUGCCGAAUUCACAUCUGCGUGCAAGCUGCCAAUGUCUGCGCUGUCGAAUUCGCAUCUACGUGCAGGAUGCCAAUGUCUGCGCUGUCGAAUUCCGCGACAGCCCCAGUUCUCGUCAGCCUAUCCUCCUAACGAGUUUUCCUGCUUGGCCUGGACAGUCCAUCGUCCAGCCCAUGUUCGUCAACAAUCUGCGCUGCCGAUUUUCCUUUGACAAACCUACAGCUGUACAAAUCUGCGUUGCCAAUUUAUCCCACUGUUGGCAACUUGGCAUGGCUGCCAGCACUCUUAGGCAUUGUUUUGGACAGCCUGCCGAAGCAUGCACCUCGUGCAUAUUUGACACUGUUACAAGUAGCCAUCAACCCUUAUACAUUGUCUUAUGACUUUACAGAGACCUGUAUUAUUAAUAAAUAAUCGUUUCACCUAGUCACUACGAUCCCCUUUGAGAGGAAGCAUUCCUUUCAAAAUCAAGGGGCUAUUUUGAAAAGUUUUUCAGAGAGAGUUGUCUCGUGUUUCUAGAUAUUUUCUAUGUACUCACCUAUAUUAAUUACAAAAAUAACAUAACUUGAGAUACUCAAACCAAAUAUAAUUUAAUAAGAAAAUAAAAUUAAAAAAAAUCACAUGAGGUUAAAAUUCAUUUUUUUCCUUAAGAGUAAAUUAUUAUUUGAUAUUUGUGUUUUUAACAAGAUGAUUAGUUAAUCUUUUUAUUUAAAAAACCUAAAAUUAAGUCCUUAUUUUUUCAUGUUUGAUGGUGACUUGGUCAGUGGCAGAGCCAAAAAAUUUUAAGUGAGGGGGCAAAUUACUAACAAAUACUUGAUAUUAUAUAGUAGAUAGACAUGUGUUAUAUAUAGAGAAAUCAAUUUGAAAUGCAUGUACUAACUCAUGUCAAGCAAAAUUAAUUUAAGAAUAUUUUUAAAAUGAAAAAACUUAUAUUAUAAUUAUUCUUUUCGAGUUUUCAUAUUUUAAAACUGCUUUAUAAUGAAUUUAUUCUUAAUUUCAUUAAAAAUAUUCUUUCUCAAUAUAUACAAUUAAACUUUCAUUCAUCUAUUUCUAAAUCUUCCAAGGACUAGUGAAAUUAUUGGCAACAAUUCUUUGUUGACUUGUUGUUUUAUACAAGUGGGUUAAAUAUAAAUAUUAAUAUAUAUUUUUUAUUUUUUUAUUGUGUCCCUAAUUUUUUAAGUUGUUCAAUAUUUUAUUUUUAAUCACUAGUAAGUUGAUCACCAUCAUUUUUCAUAUGAAAUUCAAAACAAAAUACAUAUUAAUUCAUCAAAACUCAUUUCAAUUCAUAUUCAUAUGCAUAUAAUAGUAUCCAUACACAUAUUAAUUUAAGAAAUCCAUAAAUUAUCAUAAACUCUAACAUUUUUAAUAACUAAUUAUUAAGGAAUAAAACUAAAAUUAAACAAUGAAAUAAAUAGAAAAAAUAAAGAAAACUCACCUAAAACAUAAAGUAUAAAGCAUAAAAAGGUUACUUACUUAACUAAUUAAUAGUUUAGGACUUGAAGAAGAAUAUUGUAGAAGGAAGAGAGGCAGAAAAAAUAAAAAUAAAAAGAAAAAAAGCUUGGAUCAAUUAGUAGUUAAUAAAGAAAAUUAAACCGGUUAAGUUAUUAUAUUAAAAUUUUAAUAUAAAAAAUAUUUUGAAAAAAAAGAUUAAAGGGGCAAUUACCUCUUAAUCCCCAUUGUGGCUCUGCCAUUGAACUUGGUCUUGUGUAGGUUUUUCAUCAUAAUUAAAUUACAUUUUGUUUUUUCCACAAUAGUUUUCAUUUGUAAUCGAUUUUGCAAUCUCACUUAUGACAAAAUAAACAAUCAACUUUAGUUAAGGAAUUAUCUUAUUCUUUUCAAAAAUAGAAGGAACAAGUUAUAAAACAAUAAUAAAAAAAAGAACUAAAUUAUUAUUUUUAUAUAUAAAUUAUGUUAAGUUUGUGUUUUUCAUACGUUGAUGUAAAAAUAUUUAACAGAAAAAUAGGGCUUGUCCGGUAUUUAGUCAUGAACUUGGGCUGGGCUGACGUUAAGCAUUUAGGGCUCAAUCCAAUCUAACAACGAGAAGGAAACUAGGGUUUUAAACGCCCCUCGUAUGCUUUUCUGCAAAGCUUAAAAAGAGGGAAAGAAAGGAAGGAGGAAACAUUAUUGGUGGCCGGCGGCUUCUCUCCCAAGCACAUAAAAAAUGGUUACUUUCAGGGUAUGUAUGUGACCUUAAUUUUCAUAUUUUUUUUAAUUAUUCAUUAAUGAUUAAUGUAUCUAAAUAGAAAGAUGUUUGAUUGAUUGUGGAGUGAAACAGUUUCACCAGUACCAAGUGGUCGGGAGAGCACUUCCAACAGGGAGUGAUGAGCAUCCUAAGAUCUACCGGAUGAAGCUUUGGGCCACUAAUGAGGUCCGUGCCAAAUCCAAGUUUUGGUAUGUAUCUAUUUUCACUUCUCACCUCUCUCUCUCUCUCUACUAUAUUUCUUUGCAAGUUUUUUAUUAUUUGCUAAGUCCGUUUGUUGAUUAUAGGUACUUCUUGAGGAAGCUUAAGAAAGUCAAGAAGAGCAAUGGACAGGUUCUUGCAAUCAAUGAGGUAUGAGAGCUGAUUUGGGAUUUUUUUAGGAUUUUUCUUUGUUUUUUGUAUUGUUUUAUUGUUUAAUUGCCCGAUUUAAAAUGAUGGUACUGACAAAUGAAGUGGUGGUGAGUGGUGACUGUUGCUUAUUUUGUAAUGCAUGUGGACUUGCGGUGUUGAGUUGCCCAUCAUUAGGCUUUCUUGAAACAAAGAAUGAUUUUGGUGAAAAGGGAUGGCGAAUGAUUUUGGUGAAAAGGGAUGGCUGUUUCUGUUCAUUGUUUGUGAAUGAUUCUUUUAAUGAUAAAAGGGGCUGUAGCCUCAGUCUACAAUCAUGGGUAUGCAAAAGAGCAUUAUUAGAUACAACAUAUCCUUAUGAGUACAUUGAAAAAAUGACUGUUUUGAGAUCACAUGGAACAGUCUCAUGGAUUAUACCACAUUGUCAUUCUAGUCAAUGCUUUAGUAACCACUGGUAGGAUGGUUACACAAUUCCUUUAGUGAUAUAAUUUAGGAGGUUGGCUGUGGAGGCUCAUUUGAUGAUUGUUGGUAAAAAAAAAACCAGAGAGAAUUUGUACAAGUGUUGAUACCUCUAGCAUUCCUCUUUGUAGACUUGGAAUUAACAACCAUGUGAAUCUAGAUUCUGCAAUUUUAUAGUGACCCUUGCAUAUCUUCGUUACGCAGUUAUGAGUCUCUUAUUUGGUCAAAUUAUUAUGUAGGCAUGCCUAUGGGCAUGCUGGUUAGUUCAGUUUAUUAAUUACAACAGUCAGAUUUGUGGCUUCUAGGCUUUGCUGUCUCUCUCUAUGUUUUCUCUUUCUUCUGCAAUCUUUAACUGGCAUUUCGAAUAAAAACCUUUGUAUUAGUUUUUGGCUAGGAAAAGUUCCUUGUGUUUUAAAGAUAAAAGUCAAAAGAUCCAAAAAUGAGGGAUAUGUAAAAAACAUAAAAUUUCCCCCCUACUUGAAUUGUCACAACUUGGCAGGCUAAACAGGCUGUCCAUGAGAUGGUCUAUGCAAUAAUCUCCCUUUUAUCUAGGUUCCUAUGGGCGUAUUACGAGAGAAUGAUGUUUUCUUUUAAUGAUAUCUCGUUAAGAAUUAUGGUCGAAUAACCAUUAUCUUCAACCAAGGUUAUGGGUUUUUGUAAAUAAUCUCCCUUUUAUCUAGGUUCCUAUGGGCGUAUUAUGCGAGAAUGAUGUUUUCUUUUAAUAUAUCUCGUUAAGAAUUAUAGUCGAAUAUCCAUUUAUCUUCAACCAAGGUUAUGAGUUUUUGUAAUUUCUUAUGUGCUAAACUCUCCUGGUGUUUGAGGGUAGGGAAGUUAUAUGAAAGGUUUGCAUCUUCCUCAACUAUUGGUUUGGAUCCAUUGAUGAUUAUAGUUUCCCUUUCAAGAUUAGAAGCUACUGUGCAAAGUCUCAGAGCUGAUAUAGAAGGUUUCCAAAACAGUACUGAUUAGCAGUAAAAUGGACUAUAAAACAUCAUUUUCAAUAUAGUAAGACCAUACUCAAGUUUUUCAAAGUUUACAUUAAGUAGAACCAUUUAAUACUGAAACCAGCUUCUUCAAUCAGGAUGGAUCAGCUUAUAUUUGAAAAUGGGGGUUUGAUCUAAAGUUGAAUCUAAGUUAAAAAGGGUAUGAAACAGCCCUGUACAUGCUUAACACAGUUCAAGGCUAGAAUGAUGGAUGUCCAGGUUAACUCAGAACUAUGCCAAGGCUUUCAAUGAAGAGUUUAGAUGAAGUUGCACCAGUGAAAUUCUUAGAACUUGUAAGAAAUUAGACUAAAGUUAGUAACAAUUUGCUUGGCUUAACUUGUAACCGAGCAUUUGUUUCUGUCUAUUGUCAUGCUUUAUGGCUUGAAAUAUCUGCAUUUUUUUUGUGUUGGUGUGGAUCUCACCAACAUGCAAAAAAGUAUUGAUUGACCACAUCAAGUCAAUAGCUCAUUGAUUCAGGUGGGUGCAUGGAAAUAAGCAUGUGUUUUUUUUUGUUUCAACUACUAAUAUUAGUGUGUUAGAACCUAAAUGAUAAACCUAAAUUUUACAAGUAACCUUGAUGUGUAAAGCCUAUGAAAGGAUAACUUGGACAGAUUAAUUUUACUUGUGUUUGUUAUCUCCUACACAAGUGCAUUUAGAUAAUCCGGAUUUUGAUGUUACAUUGAUGAAUAUUUUACAGCUCUUUUGCUUGAUGCCUGUGUGGGCCAAAUUUCCCUUUAAUUAAGAUAAGGAUAAUGUUGAACCGAAGAAUUAAGCUGGUAAAAUCCUUUUAACAGGAAAUGGGCUUCUGUGUUACCCAUCCAUUCUAAUGAUGUUAGCAGCUUGGAAUUAUAAUUCCUCAGCUCUGAUUUUGUCACGUACUUUUUAGCACCAUUUGUGGUAUUUGUAAAUGAAUUGCCUGGUGGAAGGACAGAUGCACUGGCUUUUCUGCAAUUUUGUUGUGCCUUAGUGUUGCAAACAUCUUCAAAUAAUUAUUUUCUGAUUGUAGAUUUUUGAGAAGAAUCCUACCAAGAUCAAGAAUUAUGGAAUAUGGCUGCGAUACCAGAGCCGAACUGGCUAUCACAACAUGUACAAGGAAUACCGCGACACAACUCUUAAUGGUGCUGUUGAACAAAUGUACACUGAGAUGGCAUCUCGCCACAGGGUGAGGUUUCCAUGCAUCCAAAUCAUUAAGACAGCUACCAUCCCAGCCAAGCUUUGCAAGAGAGAGAGUACCAAGCAGUUUCACAACUCCAAAAUCAAAUUUCCAUUGGUGUUCAAGAAGGUUAGACCCCCAUCCAGGAAGCUCAAGACAACAUACAAGGCUUCCAGGCCCAACCUGUUUAUGUGACGUGGUUCGUCAUUUUGCUGGUUCCUCAAUAUGUCAACUUGUUAGAUUGAAUAGUUUGUUGAACUAGAGUGAAUUGGACAUGAUCUCCUUUAUGAACUCUACUUCUGGAGAGAUAAAUCUGCAUUUGUUGUUCAC
This 9063-nucleotide long non-coding RNA is filed under the name Populus trichocarpa (black cottonwood). RNAcentral's name for it is "long non-coding RNA (PTRI_LNC001162)". Lineage: Eukaryota; Viridiplantae; Streptophyta; Magnoliopsida; Malpighiales; Salicaceae. The record is from RNAcentral.